Molecule: ribosomal RNA, 457 nt
Filed under: uncultured bacterium
Lineage: Bacteria
Description: partial 16S ribosomal RNA
Rfam family: Bacterial small subunit ribosomal RNA
Source: RNAcentral
CCUACGGGCGUCAGCAGUGAGGAAUAUUGGUCAAUGGACGAGAGUCUGAACCAGCCAAGUAGCGUGAAGGAUGACUGCCCUAUGGGUUGUAAACUUCUUUUAUAUGGGAAUAAAAUGUUCCACGUGUGGGCUUUUGUAUGUACCAUAUGAAUAAGGAUCGGCUAACUCCGUGCCAGCAGCCGCGGUAAUACGGAGGAUCCGAGCGUUAUCCGGAUUUAUUGGGUUUAAAGGGAGCGUAGGUGGAUUGUUAAGUCAGUUGUGAAAGUUUGCGGCUCAACCGUAAAAUUGCAGUUGAAACUGGCAGUCUUGAGGACAGUAGAGGUGGGCGGAAUUCGUGGUGUAGCGGUGAAAUGCUUAGAUAUCACGAAGAACUCCGAUUGCGAAGGCAGCUCACUGGACUGCAACUGACACUGAGGCUCGAAAGUGUGGGUAUCAAACAGGAUUAGAUACCCUAGUC